AGCGAACGCUAGCGGCAGGCUUAACACAUGCAAGUCGAGCGCCAGGUUUCGGCCUGGAGCGGCGAACGGGCGAGUAACACGUAGGUCACGUACCCUAUGGUGGGGAAUACCCCGGGGAAACUCGGAUCAAUGCCCCAUAUGUCCGAAAGGAUGACAGCGCUUCGGCGCGCCAAAGGAUCGGCCUGCGGCCCAUUAUUUAAUCCUAGUUGGUGAGGUAACGGCUCACCAAGGGUACGAUGGGUAGCUGGUCUGAGAGGACGAUCAGCCACACUGGAACUGAGACACGGUCCAGACUCCUACGGGAGGCAGCAGUGGGGAAUAUUGGACAAUGGGCGAAAGCCUGAUCCAGCCAUGCCGCGUGAGUGAUGAAGGCCUUCGGGUUGUAAAGCUCUGUCGUGGGGGAAGAAGUUCUGACGGUACCCCACAAGAAAGCACCGGCUAACUCCGUGCCAGCCGCCGCGGUAA
RNAcentral lists this ribosomal RNA (465 nucleotides) under uncultured bacterium. RNAcentral describes it as "partial 16S ribosomal RNA". It matches the Rfam family "Bacterial small subunit ribosomal RNA", at positions 29 to 523 of the family's 1533-position model. The record is from RNAcentral.